UAGCCGAUCUGAGAGGAUGUACGGCCACAUUGGGACUGAGACACGGCCCAGACUCCUACGGGAGGCAGCAGUGGGGAAUAUUGCACAAUGGAGGAAACUCUGAUGCAGCGACGCCGCGUGAGUGAAGAAGUAUUUCGGUAUGUAAAGCUCUAUCAGCAGGGAAGAAAAUGACGGUACCUGACUAAGAAGCACCGGCUAAAUACGUGCCAGCAGCCGCGGUAAUACGUAUGGUGCAAGCGUUAUCCGGAUUUACUGGGUGUAAAGGGAGCGUAGGUGGCAAGGCAAGCCAGAAGUGAAAACCCGGGGCUCAACCGCGGGAUUGCUUUUGGAACUGUCAUGCUAGAGUGCAGGAGGGGUGAGCGGAAUUCCUAGUGUAGCGGUGAAAUGCGUAGAUAUUAGGAGGAACACCGGAGGCGAAGGCGGCUCACUGGACUGUAACUGACACUGAGGCUCGAAAGCGUGGGGAGCAAACAGGAUUAGGUACCCUGGUAGUCCACGCGGUAAACGAUGAAUACUAGAUGUCGGGUAGCAUAGCUAUUCGGUGUCGUCGCAAACGCAAUAAGUAUUCCACCUGGGGAGUACGUUCGCAAGAAUGAAACUCAAAGGAAUUGACGGGGACCCGCACAAGCGGUGGAGCAUGUGGUUUAAUUCGAAGCAACGCGAAGAACCUUACCUGCUCUUGACAUCCCAUUCGAUAGAGGGUAAUGCCUCUAGCCCUUCGGGGGAAUGGAGACAGGUGGUGCAUGGUUGUCGUCAGCUCGUGUCGUGAGAUGUUGGGUUAAGUCCCGCAACGAGCGCAACCCUUAUUGUCAGUAGCCAGCAGGUGAAGCUGGGCACUCUGAUGAGACUGCCGGGGAUAACCCGGAGGAAGGUGGGGAUGACGUCAAAUCAUCAUGCCCCUUAUGAGCAGGGCUACACACGUGCUACAAUGGCGUAAACAGAGGGAAGCGAAGGAGUGAUCUGGAGCAAAUCUCAAAAAUAACGUCUCAGUUCGGAUUGUAGUCUGCAACUCGACUACAUGAAGCUGGAAUCGCUAGUAAUCGCAGAUCAGAAUGCUGCGGUGAAUACGUUCCCGGGUCUUGUACACACCGCCCGUCACACCAUGGGAGUCGGUAAUGCCCGAAGUCAGUGACUCAACCAUAAAGGAGAGAGCUGCCGAAGGCAGGACUGGUAACUGGGGUGAAGUCGUAACAAGGUAGCCGUAUCGGGGUGCGGCUG
RNAcentral lists this ribosomal RNA (1218 nucleotides) under metagenome. RNAcentral describes it as "bacterial SSU rRNA". It matches the Rfam family "Bacterial small subunit ribosomal RNA", at positions 284 to 1520 of the family's 1533-position model. The record is from RNAcentral.